CCUAGGCCUGUUUUAUUUGCUAGCAGGCCUCACAGCCCACUUGAAUUCCUUUGUGAGAUGUGUUCCUCAUGAUACAGUACAAUACCUUGUGGAAGGACUGCUUUCUAUGUGUGGAAAUGCUAUUCCGUAAUGUAAGAGUGAUACUGAGGAGGAUGUUAGCAAAGAAAAAGGAAGCAAAUUCAUCAUGGUGGUGUCAGCCAGAAGAAAAUAAGAGGUGCUGUAGAGUUAGUUGGACGGACUGGUCCUUGGCAAGACCUGGAAAGGCCUGCUGCUGCCCGACAAGACAGCACGAAGCAGCGUUCCCAGGAAGACAUCAGGGUGCCUCCCAUAAAGCAGAACAGAGGUGGUGUUGUGGUCAGUUCAAAGCAAGCCAGCGCCUCUGAAGCAGCUGACAAAGGCCGCUAUUGCACAUCAAGGAGCACGGUGUGGGGAAGGAGAAUUUAUUUGCCUCACCUGGAACCGGGAGCUGUUUUACUGUGCUCACAUCUCAGUCCAACAGUUACUGUAAAUCAAGUUCCCACUCCCCAGUUUCUCAGAAAGUGAAACUAAAUCAAGCCAGGAAUGGUUUUACAGGCACAGGACCUGUUUUCAGGCCUCUGACACAUUUCAUGGAUGAGUCAAAAGAAUAUGAGCAGUAUUUUUAUGCUCAGACAGCACAGAGGAUAUGUCCAUUCUUCUCCUGUAAGGGAGGAUUUCCUAAUCUAACUGAGCCCGUAGUAACACCUAGUAACAUCUGGUUUUAAUAGCCAUGUUGCCCUUGUAGAAAAGCCCCGUGGCAGGAUAAGCUACUCAGCACAGUGCUGGCAGUUCAUUCCCAUUUCAGCUGGGAAUGAAGUCCACAUGGUUCUAUGUCAUCCUAGAAAAAAAAUGUGGGGGUCUGUGACUGAAACAGAGCCCCGUGGCUGCUUGGAAGCAUAACAAAAGAUGGAGAAGUCACUGAAGUGAGAAAACCUGGAGAGAUGAGCAGUUUGAGAAAAGUGUUAGCAUCAUUUUGCAGAGAGCAAAAUGGAAGCAGAGUGGGGUUGCAGCAGCCCGGAGGAAGCUGCUGGUACAGCUGGAAGCAUACCGUGGAUCUAGGCCAGCAUCCUGAGCAGAGGUGCAUCUUUCUUCCCUAACCUUCAGACACAACAGUGAUAGAGGGAAACAUUCUCAGGAAGGAUGAAAUGCACGGGGAAGGGUGAAGAAGCCCUCUCUAUUCCUUAUAGUGAAGAGAAUUUUGUUUCUUUCGUGUUUCAUCAGGUUUAGUCAAAAUGUUAGCAGCUACACUCAUCAGCCACCUCUCACAACAGAAUGUGCUUAACGUGGGGGAUCUGAGUGUCCCAGAUUCCCCUCUAAAUGCCUUUAAAGUCACCUAGCUCUCGCCAUGUUGUCUAGCACUGCGUUUGGGCUCCUUCAGUCAGCCCCAGUGGUCAGGCACAAGUUCUGUACCGGAGUUAGGGAGGCCUGACCCCGAUCCCCAGGAUUUCUGUAUUUGACAGGCUGAUGGGAAAGCGGAAAUAACUACCAGCGUAUCCUACUUCAAAAGUUCCUAUUUCAUAACUGUUUUCUGGCUGGUUAAUGCGUGCACUUCUCAUUUUACAAAGCAAAUGUGCACAACUGCUACUCCAGGACGUGCCACAUGGAGAUGGCUGUGACCCCUCCCCAUGGCUCCUGCAGCCCCAGUCACCUCCCAGUUGCUCCUUCCAAGAGAUGGGGAGAUCCAUGACCAGCACAUCUGCUGGCUUUGGCUCCGGCCUCUGAUGCUGGGUCCAGGGCCCAUCUCUAUGAAGGUCUCAUCCCAGCACUGUGCUCAGUGCCCACCAGAGGAGUGUGAUGAGUUUACCCGUAUGUUUUCCCAGCAAUAUUCACUGUUUGCCGCUUAACUUCUGACUGACCACGGAUAUUGUACAAAACCCUCCAAUAAACACCAAACCUGUGUUGACCCAGGACUUCACUCAUGAGUUCUGCUUGGGUCUAGGGAAGGAGGAACAAGAGAAAAGUUGCUGACACCGAAUCACUCUCUGUGAAAUAAAAACCGAUCCAGGGAUUUCCUGCUUUUUGCAAAAGGUUUGGUGUUUUGUUCUCUCCCUGUUCAGGAGGGAAUGAUGGGUUAAUGCCUGCAUUUGCACAGUGACACUGCCGUGUACCUGGGAGUCACGGAGUGAGAAGGGAGUCCCAGGGCUGUGCUGGGAAUGAGCAGUGAGGGUGCCAGGGUGCCCCUCAAGCGACAGCCUCACGUGGCAGAUGACCCACCACGUGGCGUUUCAUACGCCGGGGCCACAGGAAAUUGUGAAAUUUGUACAUAAGCUUCAGCUUCUAGCUGUGUGAUGUUUGUCAGCUGCUCAUACGAACCUCAAGUGGCCAGUCUGGUGUUCAGGGCUCAGCUGUGUGCCUGUACAAGCUGGUACGCUGCCGUGCCCAGCCCUGGGAUUCUCAGCCACAGGUGGCCAGGCGCUGAAAAACAAGACAUCGCAUACAUUUUGCACUGUGCAUCACCCAAAGGAAUGAAGAGGGGUGUUUUCUACACGUUGAUCAGAAAAAUGUGGCUUGACCUCCAAAGGGAUUCGGCACAGCUCAGGGCCAGAAGCUGGGCAGCAGGACAGACCAAGGACAGCAGGGAUCUGUAUCUGUGAGACCAGCGAGAGGAGGAAAUGAGGAGCAGAAAGGAAUGGAAAGCAGUAGCAGGAGCACGUCUGUUGAGAAUUUUGUAAAUGUGAUGGGGCAACAGGACGGAGCAGUUAAGCACAGAUCGUUGCAGAUUUUCCUGUUGUGAACUCCACUCCCUGGCACAUGCACUUCUUUCCUGUGCUUGCCUAACACAUAGCUGCGGUGCUGCGGUGUAGCGGUUGCUUCCUGGGAGGAGGACGUGUUCCAGAAGGGACUGGGUGACUGCAGUACAUGCUCCUGAUGGGCAACGCUCAGCCCCAAGUCUGGGCCCAGAAACCUUGCCGUAUUUCACAGGUACAAAAAGUAGCCACGCGACCAAGGCGUGCAGCGCACAGCCCUCAAACAUCAUCUUCUCCUCCUUAGACAAUGGGACAGGACAUGCCUGAUGGUUAUUAUCUGUGGCCCAAACCCUCCCCACUGGCUGUGCAAAAUCAGCACAUGGGUGUAUGUUGCUCAUGAUUACUUUAUCCUCUGCAUGAAAAGGGAAGAGCUCUUGGAGUGUCUCUCUGCACCAUCCACACCACCUGCACCCUUAAGCCUCCUUCCAGCUGGCUGGAGCGCUGAAUCCCAAAAGGACUUGCAAUAAAAGGUUCCCUUCCUCUCUAAUCCUCCCUGCCUGUACACAUAUGUCCACACACAGCUCCUUGUACACACGCAUGCGUGCACACAUGCAUAGACAUGGGUGUGUUUAAAGGCAUAGGGCCCAUUGUAAAAUCAAGAAAUGCCAAAUUUACCUUUUGUUCAAUUAUGGCCUCUUGUCUCCAAACAGGGCCACAUCUGAGAAAUAGGAAUGAUGUGUACUGAUCAGCAAUAAUGAGCCACUGCUGAGCUAGCUAACCAUGACAUGAAAAUCAGAGUUAUAUUUUUAAUGACCUUUCACUAGAACAAGUUAGUGCUUUUUCUUCUGGUCUCACAAAAGCUUUGCCCUCUGCCCCCAGGGUACCUGUGACAAUUUCAAAAUUCCAAGUUAGUGGGGAGAUCAAACUGAGGCCCCCAACACAAGCUGGCUGAAAUUUAAGGUUUGCCAGUCCUUCUUCUGAGGAACUAAGAAUGAACUGUGUGUGUAUGCAUUCAUGUGAAAAAUAUGAUGCCUAUGCUCCAGCAUGUGGGUCAGACACUUUAAGUUAUCCUGUGAUAAAUACCACUAGUAAAAUGCUCAAGGAUAGUUUUAGAGGGUGCAUUUGGUGUACUCUAGAUGAAGAAAAAGACAAAUAAGGCUCGAAGGCUUUCACGUAGGAGAUAAGAGUUUGAGUUGAAUUGAAAAGCUGUGCAUUCAUCUGCCAAGCAGCAGCUUUGCUGAGGUUUGUCUGGUUUGAUCACAAUUUUCAUUUCACACUUUCAUGGAAACUUCAGGAGGUAACUGGCUCCCUGAGCAUUGUUCUGCAGGGCAAGCCAGCCUGCAAGUGAGUCAGACAGUUUAACUCACAGUCGUGUCACAAACCCUUCACACUAUGCCUUAUGUGUAAAAAGCAAAGCAAAACAAGUCUCAUAAAACAUUAAAACUUCACGAGAAAACACCACUAGAGGGGGCUGGCCCUACAUGAGCCAGUUCAGGUUUGUGCAGCCCUCAGGGACACCAGCCCGUGCAAACACACCUGACUGUAGCUAUAGCCACAGAAAUUGCCAGGCCUGCCCAAACCAGGAGAAAACCCAUAAUGCUAACCUCAGCAAUGUGGCACUGCUGUGUUGAUGCUGUUCUCUAGUCCGAAGGUGUGUCUGCAGAAACACCCCAAGCUGGAGAUGAGCAAGCCUUCAUCCCCGGGGGGAGCAAUGCCCACGUGCAACAGCAGUUUCUGCAGAACUGCACCCGCUGUUCGCUGCAUGCCCUGGCUCCUUACUCCCACGCCCCCAAACUUUCCCACCUCUACUCCUAUAUCCCCUUAAGUCCCUUUACAACUUAUUCGCUGUGAAAGACGCACCAAGUGCCAACUCUCUGCUUGCUGCCAGGUUAGCACUGCAGAGUGCAGCCUUCUGCCCCUGGAGCCUGGCAGAGAGGCUGUGGGUCGGGUCCCAAAAGCCCAACUGCUUUUGGAACUCCUUCAGUCUGUAGACACUGUCUAUUAAUUAGUCCUGGAAAGCUUUACAGUCAGUCCUACAACAUGGUGAGAAACCACUGAAGGAUAUCCCUAAGAAAACAGUUCAAUGUUAGCGAUUGUAUUUGGAAGAAACAGGACCACAGUUCACAAAGACAUAUUUUUUCAGGCAAUUAUUGGCACAUAUCACCUCCUCCAAGCCAUCCUGGCACGGCCCAGCUCUCACCCAGAAGCCAGAGGGAAACAGUGCUGCACUUGAGCUAAUAAUAAUAACGAGGAUAUCAAUUUGUGUGGAUACUGAGGCUCACGGCUUGUUCCCAGCCAGCUCCAAGCCCCCAGCACAGAGGGUGUGUGUGUGGCCGUGUUUGUCUAAGCCUGCAUCUACCGUUGCAGAAGGACCUGUGGUACCCCUCAGUGCCACAGCUCACCUUCCUCACCACAAACGGGAGAGAAAGCAAAAAGCUGCUGCAAAGUUUACCGGGGAUCUUGCUAACUCCUGGAUUUGUGAUGCUUUGGAAUUAUUUUGAAUGAUCAGUUCUUCAGCACGCACAAAUCCUCUGGACAACAUCGGUCCCAGAAAGCUUUAAAGAGCACGCUGCUGCCUGACCCCAUUCCUGGCAGCCCAUAGCUGGGCACUCGCACUGAAAGGACAUUCAACCGAAUUAACUGACUCCAGCUAAAAUCCUAGCGCAGACAAAGCGCUUUGGGGUUUUUAGUGCAAUUAGUACAGCAAGUGGAGAAAGAGUCACAAAGGUGCUUUCAUCCUUCAGCUCCACGUAAAGCGGAUUCCAGGUGCUUUGACCUGACGGAGUGAAGCCUACCUCCAUUGUUGGUUUGGCCUUUGUCCACAGGUGCCUAAAUUGUCCUUGCAGCUUGCCAAGGCACCUCUGCACCUACCUACUCAUAUGGAUUAUCAUGCUGUGGGAGCCACACACAGACAACACCGAGUCCACUCAAAAUUGCUGAGGAGGAGGGAAAAUUGUGUACAUGCAGUUUCAGCUCCUUGUCAUCACAUCUCAGCAGGGCUCACCAGCCGCAAGCCAGUAGGAAUAACAUGUGUGGUGGAAAGCAGAAGAGAUGAUGGGUAGGGAAAGGCGGAAUACUUUUUGUCCCAUGUACUGAUGCUACAGAGCUGUCUUCAGGCAUCCAAGACUCAGGGGGCCAAAGGCAGGAGCUGGCAGAGGAUUCCUGUCCUUGUGGCCCAAUGCUGAAGACAGAGCAGCAGGAGGUCCAUGUAUUGGGCCCUGCCAUUGACAUUACAGAUACAUUUUAUCUGAUAAUUAUUUUGGGACAAAUUCUGUAAUCUAACCACGGGAGCACAGGUGGUGGCCUGUCCAUGGGAGUACUUGUGUACAAAGAAGGCCUGUGUAAUCAGUUUUUCACUCUCCCCUAUCUUUUUCUUCUCCUUUCCCUUGGGCUGCCUCUGGGUCCCAGUUGCCUUCAUAAUGGAUUUCUCUCAUUUAACUAAAAGUUGAAAAAAAAAAAAGCUGCUAUACAUAAUAGUUCUGUAACUGUCUGGGUUGAUAAUAAAAUCAGAGGAUUGUGGUUUU
Molecule: long non-coding RNA, 6229 nt
Organism: Cygnus olor (mute swan)
Lineage: Eukaryota; Metazoa; Chordata; Aves; Anseriformes; Anatidae
Exons: 2
Source: RefSeq, a predicted model, not a curated record